This 229-nucleotide ribosomal RNA is filed under the name uncultured bacterium. RNAcentral's name for it is "partial 16S ribosomal RNA". It matches the Rfam family "Bacterial small subunit ribosomal RNA", at positions 568 to 796 of the family's 1533-position model. The record is from RNAcentral.
UCCGUAGGUGGAUAAUUAAGUCAGAGGUGAAAUCCUGCAGCUCAACUGUAGAAUUGCCUUUGAAACUGGUUAUCUUGAAUUAUUGUGAAGUGGUUAGAAUAUGUAGUGUAGCGGUGAAAUGCAUAGAUAUUACAUAGAAUACCAAUUGCGAAGGCAGAUCACUAACAAUAUAUUGACACUGAUGGACGAAAGCGUGGGGAGCGAACAGGAUUAGAUACCCUGGUAGUCC